RNAcentral lists this ribosomal RNA (253 nucleotides) under uncultured bacterium. RNAcentral describes it as "partial 16S ribosomal RNA". It matches the Rfam family "Bacterial small subunit ribosomal RNA", at positions 524 to 776 of the family's 1533-position model. The record is from RNAcentral.
UACGUAGGAGGCAAGCGUUGUCCGGACUGACUGGGCGUAAAGCGCGCGCAGGCGGUGCGGGGCGUCGGUGCUGAAAUCGGGCCGCUUAACGGCCCGCGGCGUGCCGAUACGCCCGUACUGGAGGGUGGGCGAGGGUGGUGGAAUUGCCGGUGUAGUGGUGAAAUGCGUAGAGAUCGGCAGGAACACCCGUGGCGACAGCGGCCACCUAGCCCAUACCUGACGCUGAUGCGCGACAGCGUGGGGAGCGAACUGG